Molecule: ribosomal RNA, 253 nt
Filed under: uncultured bacterium
Lineage: Bacteria
Description: partial 16S ribosomal RNA
Rfam family: Bacterial small subunit ribosomal RNA
Source: RNAcentral
UACGUAGGGGGCAAGCGUUGUUCGGAAUUACUGGGCGUAAAGGGCGCGUAGGCGGCACGGCAAGUCGGGAGUGAAAGGCCUGGGCUCAACCGAGGAACUGCUUUCGAGACUGCCGAGCUAGAGUGCGGAAGGGGCAACUGGAAUUCCCAGUGUAGCGGUGAAAUGCGUAGAUAUUGGGAAGAACACCGGAGGCGAAGGCGGGUUGCUGGGCCGACACUGACGCUGAGGCGCGAAAGCCAGGGGAGCGAACAGG